This 253-nucleotide ribosomal RNA is filed under the name uncultured bacterium. RNAcentral describes it as "partial 16S ribosomal RNA". It matches the Rfam family "Bacterial small subunit ribosomal RNA", at positions 524 to 776 of the family's 1533-position model. The record is from RNAcentral.
GACGAAGGUGGCUAGCGUUGCUCGGUGUCACUGGGCUUAGAGCGUAUGUAGGCGGGAAAGUAAGCGCUUUGUGAAAUCCCCCAGCUUAACUGGGGAAUUGCUGGGCGUACUGCUUUUCUUGAGGCAAGUAGGGGUGCGUGGAACUCUUGGUGGAGCGGUGGAAUGCGUAGAUAUCAAGAGGAAUGCCGGUGGUGAAGACGAUGCACUAGGCUUGCACUGACGCUGAGAUACGAAAGCGUGGGGAGCGAACGGG